Molecule: ribosomal RNA, 492 nt
Filed under: uncultured bacterium
Lineage: Bacteria
Description: partial 16S ribosomal RNA
Rfam family: Bacterial small subunit ribosomal RNA
Source: RNAcentral
AGUGAACGCUGGCGGUAGGCCUAACACAUGCAAUUCGAACGGCAGCACAGUAAGAGCUUGCUCUUACGGGUGGCGAGUGGCGGACGGGUGAGGAAUACAUCGGAAUCUACUUUUUCGUGGGGGAUAACGUAGGGAAACUUACGCUAAUACCGCAUACGACCUACGGUUGAAAGCAGGGGAUCUUCGGACCUUGCGCGAUUGAAUGAGCCGAUGUCGGAUUAGCUAGUUGGCGGGGUAAAGGCCCACCAAGGCGACGAUCCGUAGCUGGUCUGAGAGGAUGAUCAGCCACACUGGAACUGAGACACGGUCCAGACUCCUACGGGAGGCAGCAGUGGGGAAUAUUGGACAAUGGGCGCAAGCCUGAUCCAGCCAGACCGCGUGGGUGAAGAAGGCAUUCGGGUUGUAAAGCCCUUUUGUUGGGAAAGAAAAGCAGCAGGUUAAUACCCCGCUGUUCUGACGGUACCCAAAGAAUAAGCACCGGCUAACUUCGUG